RNAcentral lists this unclassified non-coding RNA (265 nucleotides) under uncultured fungus. RNAcentral's name for it is "sequence contains ITS2". The stretch from base 1 to 52 matches the Rfam family "5.8S ribosomal RNA", at positions 103 to 154 of the family's 154-position model. Lineage: Eukaryota; Fungi. The record is from RNAcentral.
AACGCACAUUGCGCCCGCCAGUAUUCUGGCGGGCAUGCCUGUUCGAGCGUCAUUUCAACCCUCAAUUCCUCUUUUGGAGUUGGUGUUGGGGAUCGGCAAGGCGUCCUCCGGGUCGCGCCGUCCCCCAAAUUUAGUGGCGGUCUCGCUGUAGCUUCCUCUGCGUAGUAAUACACCUCGCUCUGGAAACGCGGCGCGGCCAAGCCGUUAAACCCCCAACUAUUUUUUGUUUGACCUCGAAUCAGGUAGGACUACCCGCUGAACUUAA